GACUGCAUAGUGUAGUGGAUUAGAUUGUCUAAUUUCAAAUUAGAAGGUCAUGGGUUCAACUCCAACUGUGGUUG
This 74-nucleotide transfer RNA is filed under the name Ipomoea nil (Japanese morning glory). It matches the Rfam family "tRNA". From Rfam's summary of the family: Transfer RNA (tRNA) molecules are approximately 80 nucleotides in length. Their secondary structure includes four short double-helical elements and three loops (D, anti-codon, and T loops). Lineage: Eukaryota; Viridiplantae; Streptophyta; Magnoliopsida; Solanales; Convolvulaceae. The record is from Rfam by way of RNAcentral.